CUGGGAUUAUAGGCCUGAGCCACUGUGAGCCAGGCCUAUCCUCAUUUUAUUUACAGAGAAACUGGAAUUCAGAGAGAUUCUUGCCCAAGGUCUUGCCCUGGACCAAUUCCAGGUCUAUCUAAUUCCAAAGUCGAUGUUCAGUACACUGUCUCGUGCUUGGGAGCAAAGAGAGGACUUUGCUCCUAAGACCAGAUCCACACCACAAAGAGCCUUAACACUUGCUACUAGGGGAAGCCACCAUCCUCAGGGAAAAGCCAGGUGCUAUUCCCCUCACCCCAGAGGGUUUAGGAUUUGGGAGAAAGAGGCCUGAUGGAACAUAGAGGUGCCAGGUCCAUGUAUUAACUGAUCUGGGUAAAAGAACAAUAGCUCAGGGCCCGCCAGGGAAAGGACAGCCAAGCCCAGGGCACAGCUGCCCAAAUAUCACCUCUCCCUCCUUGUCCCACCAUGCCUUGUCCCAGAAUGAACGUACCCCCUUCAAUUUCCCUCUUUUCCUGUCUCCUGCAUAGGCAGAACCAGCUCUGAGCAAUAGCCAGGGCAGCAGGUCCUCAGGCUUGCCACUACGGCCUGUUUACCCUACACAGACCAUGAUCUAUCAGGUCUGAGUAACGCCCCACUGCUAGGUGUUUGUGUCAAAAACGCCUGCCAGUGGUGCAACAGCUGGGUGGGACCAGUGACGUGGACUCAAAUGCCACAAAAUGUACUGAGCACAUUCUGAGUCAACACAGUGAUGAUGUGCCCAGCCCAGAUAAAGAUUUUCAGUAUUUAUUUGUUUGGGUUUUGUUUAUGUGUACCCCUCUUCAUCACCAAAGAUUUGAGGCAACUGAAAAUGAAAACUGAAAUGGCAAUAAAAGAGAGGGGGUUGCAGAGAGGACACAGGAUGGGGAAAAUAGAAAUAAUUGCAGAAAAUUAUGACCCGAUGAAGAGCACAAUCACAGAAGCGGUAAGAGAUGGCAAGGUUGCCAGAGGGCUGCUUGCGCAUCCUCACAAUAUGGUGACUGUCUUCCCUCAGAAAGAGUGAUCCAAGAGAAAUCAAGGACAUGCUGCUGCCUCCUCCUGGAAGAAAGGGAGUGCUAUGAUAAUGGAAGGAGGGCACGGUGUCCCCUUGCAGGAGCCACUUUUGAUCCUGCCAGGACAAUCAAUCCUUCAAGAGCAGCAAGGCCCUGUGGGUACAGGAAGAGAGUGACCCUCAGAUCCCUUCCCUUUGCCCUAAUCGGGGCCACAUAGUAUACCAGAGACCUCAGGGAUAGUGACCCUGGAUGUUCUCAGAGAACUUUUGACCUUCGAACUUGGGGAUGGGUACAGGGGUGUGGCUAGCAUCGCAGCCUGGCCCACACGGGUGCUGGUCAACACGCCUAUGGGGCACUAACCCAGGUCCACAGAGAAGUCCUUUACUUCCAAAUCACCUGAGGAUCCAGUGGUGACCGGGGAGAUUCUGACCUGAAACUGCUGGCUCUGGGGGACUGCUGGGUAAGCUGAUGUGGGCCAGGCUGGAGUUCAAACACACUUCCCUGGUGCCCACAGGGACUCCCAGCACACGCUCUCCUAUGGGUGUCAACGAUUCAGUCUUUCUUGGUGGCAUAGACUAUAGCCUGGAGAAGCCCUGGGGAAUAUUUCUUUUCUUACUUAUUUCUGAUUUUAAAAGUAAUACUGUCAGGAUGACUAUUGUUAAAAACAAAAUAAAACGAAACCAAAAAAUAACAGAAAACAACAAGCGUUGGAGAGGCUGUGAAGAAAUUGGAAGCCUGGGCAUCGCCAGUGGGAAUGUGAAAUGGUGCGGUUACUAUAAACGACAGUUUGGUGUUUCCUCCAAAACGUAAAUAUAGAAUUACCAUGUGACCUGGCAAUUCCACUUCUGGAUAUAUGCUCAGAAAAACUGAGAGCAAGGACUGGAACAGACAUGUAUACACCCACGUUCACAGCAGCAGUUUUCACAAUUGCUUAAUGGAUAGAGUUUUCUGUUUGGGAUGAUGAAAAAAUUUUCAGAAAUAGUGGUGGUGGUGGUUGCACAACAUU
Long non-coding RNA from Sapajus apella (tufted capuchin), 2013 nucleotides. RefSeq lists it as uncharacterized. NCBI's taxonomy places the organism in Eukaryota, Metazoa, Chordata, Mammalia, Primates, Cebidae. The record is from RefSeq and is a predicted model, not a curated record. The transcript has 3 exons.